CCCCGCGGCAGCGCCCGGAGCAGCGCUUGGGAGCGACGGGGGCACCGCGCCCGGGCCGGGGGAGCGACCCCUGCCCAGCCGACACCCCCGACGGGGCGGGGGCCGCUCCCUUCGCUACCCGCAUUGCUGCGGAGCCGCAGGUGCGGGGCUCACCUGGGCGCGGGGCCGUGCCCGUUCGCGACCCCCUUCCCCCCCGCCCCUCCGCUCACGCGCCGAGCUGCGAGCGCUGCCGAAGUUGCUGACCGCGCUCCCCGGGGCUUGGCGUUCAAUCACGCGCGGAUGCGACAUUAGGAAACUAAAACACCGUCGCGCCCGCGGUGUCUGGAGCGGGGCCACGGCCGCCGAGGGUGAAGAUCCUGGUGAUGUGAAGGGACAUGCACAGGUGCUUUUGCCAUUCUGCUAGAAACCGCUGGAGCACAUGAAGGUUCCAGCAGCUCCACAUCUUUCUUGCAGUGAAGGGCCCAAAACUAAACACAGUGUGACCUGACCAGAAGUUGCUCUGCAAGGAACACCAAGAUGAAUGCAUCUCUGCCUGCUACUUUUUCCUGUGUUACUUAUAAG
This is a long non-coding RNA of Cuculus canorus (common cuckoo), 561 nucleotides long. RefSeq lists it as uncharacterized. The transcript has 3 exons. Lineage: Eukaryota; Metazoa; Chordata; Aves; Cuculiformes; Cuculidae. The record is from RefSeq and is a predicted model, not a curated record.